GCCCUUCGCAACCCCUGCUUUCAGUUGCUACCGNGUCNCGCCGAGCACUCUGAAGGGACUGCCCAGUGAUAACGAGGAGGAAGGUGGGGAUGACGUCAAGUCAUCAUGGCCUUUAUGCCUGGGGCCACACACGUGCUACAAUGGCCGGNACAAAGCGCUGCNAACCUGCGAGGGGGAGCCAAUCNCAAAAAGCCGUCUCAGUUCAGAUUGCACUCUGCAACUCGGGUGCAUGAAGGUGGAAUCGCUAGUAAUCGCGGAUCAGCACGCCGCGGUGAAUACGUUCCCGGGCCUUGUACACACCGCCCGUCACACCAUGGGAGUUGGUUCUACCUUAAGCAGGUGUGGUAACCGCAAGGGGCUAGCUUGCCACGGUAGGGUCAGUGACUGGGGUGAAGUCGUAACAAGGUAAAGGGC
This 414-nucleotide ribosomal RNA is filed under the name uncultured bacterium. RNAcentral's name for it is "bacterial SSU rRNA". It matches the Rfam family "Bacterial small subunit ribosomal RNA", at positions 1091 to 1504 of the family's 1533-position model. The record is from RNAcentral.